Molecule: ribosomal RNA, 497 nt
Filed under: uncultured bacterium
Lineage: Bacteria
Description: partial 16S ribosomal RNA
Rfam family: Bacterial small subunit ribosomal RNA
Source: RNAcentral
GAUGAACGCUGGCGGCGUGCCUAAUACAUGCAAGUCGAGCGAACAGAUGAGGAGCUUGCUCCUCUGACGUUAGCGGCGGACGGGUGGGUAACACGUGGAUAACCUACCUAUAAGACUGGGAUAACUUCGGGAAACCGGAGCUAAUACCGGAUAAUAUAUUGAACCGCAUGGUUCAAUAGUGAAAGACGGUUUUGCUGUCACUUAUAGAUGGAUCCGCGCCGCAUUAGCUAGUUGGUAAGGUAACGGCUUACCAAGGCAACGAUGCGUAGCCGACCUGAGAGGGUGAUCGGCCACACUGGAACUGAGACACGGUCCAGACUCCUACGGGAGGCAGCAGUAGGGAAUCUUCCGCAAUGGGCGAAAGCCUGACGGAGCAACGCCGCGUGAGUGACGAAGGUCUUCGGAUCGUAAAACUCUGUUAUUAGGGAAGAACAAAUGUGUAAGUAACUAUGCACGUCUUGACGGUACCUAAUCAGAAAGCCACGGCUAACUACGUG